AUAGCGUAUAUUAAAGUUGUUGCAGUUAAAAAGCUCGUAGUUGAACUUCAGACCUGGCUGGGCGGUCAGCUUAUCGGCUAGUACUGUCCGGCUGGGCCUUACUUCUUGGUGAGCCGGUGUGCCCUUUAUUGGGUGCGUCGGUGAACCAGGACCUUUACCUUGAGAAAAUUAGAGUGUUCAAAGCAGGCCUAUGCCCGAAUACAUUAGCAUGGAAUAAUAGAAUAGGACGUUGUGGUUCUAUUUUGUUGGUUUCUAGAAUCGCCGUAAUGAUUAAUAGGGAUAGUUGGGGGCAUUGGUAUUCAGCCGCUAGAGGUGAAAUUCUUGGAUUGGCUGAAGACCAACUAUUG
This 347-nucleotide ribosomal RNA is filed under the name uncultured eukaryote. Its description in RNAcentral is "SSU rRNA". It matches the Rfam family "Eukaryotic small subunit ribosomal RNA", at positions 594 to 945 of the family's 1831-position model. The record is from RNAcentral.